GAUGAACGCUGGCGGCGCGCCUAACACAUGCAAGUCGAACGAUUAAAGCACCUUCGGGUGUGUAUAAAGUGGCGAACGGCUGAGUAACACGUGGGCAACCUGCCCCUUUCAUUGGGAUAGCCACGGGAAACCGUGGAUAAUACCGAAUACUUCGAGACUUCCGCAUGGAAGACUCGAGAAAGCUCCGGCGGAGGGGGAUGGGCCCGCGGCCUGUUAGCUUGUUGGUGGGGUAACGGCCUACCAAGGCAAUGAUGGGUAGCUGGGUUGAGAGACCGACCAGCGAGAUGGGGCCUGAGACAGGCCCCAGACGCGAAGGGGGGGCAGCGGGGGGAAUCCUGGCACAGGGGGCGAACGCGGGAUGCGGCGGCGCCGGGGGCGGGAAGAAGGCUUUGGGGUUGAAAACCGCUUCCGGCGGGGACGAGGCGAAAGUGACGGUACCGGAAGAAGAAGCCCCGGCUAACUACGUG
This 467-nucleotide ribosomal RNA is filed under the name uncultured bacterium. Its description in RNAcentral is "partial 16S ribosomal RNA". It matches the Rfam family "Bacterial small subunit ribosomal RNA", at positions 28 to 507 of the family's 1533-position model. The record is from RNAcentral.